This 252-nucleotide ribosomal RNA is filed under the name uncultured bacterium. RNAcentral's name for it is "partial 16S ribosomal RNA". It matches the Rfam family "Bacterial small subunit ribosomal RNA", at positions 524 to 776 of the family's 1533-position model. The record is from RNAcentral.
UACGGAGGAUGCGAGCGUUAUCCGGAUUUAUUGGGUUUAAAGGGUGCGCAGGCGGAAUGUCAAGUCAGCGGUAAAAUUUCGGGGCUCAACCCCGUCGUGCCGUUGAAACUGGCGUUCUUGAGUGAGCGAGAAGUAUGCGGAAUGCGUGGUGUAGCGGUGAAAUGCAUAGAUAUCAGGAGGAACAUCGGUGGCGUAAGCGCUUUACUGGGCCGUAAUUGACGCUGAGGAACGAAAGCCAGGGUAGCAAAUGGG